Pelobates cultripes (western spadefoot toad) is the source of this 633-nucleotide non-coding RNA. The record is from the annotation of a GenBank genome assembly. NCBI's taxonomy places the organism in Eukaryota, Metazoa, Chordata, Amphibia, Anura, Pelobatidae.
UAUUGUGGUAGCUCACAAAAUAUUGGGACAUACAAAAAAAGAAACAUUUGCGGCCUGCGGUGCAUUUCUUGCAGUCCUGAUGCAUUAAGAAAUGCUCAACUCCUGAUGCAUGGAGAAAAGGCCUUCGCAAGCCUCUGUUAAUAUGUACAUAGUUUAUACUAAGUGACCCAUAGGUUGAGGAGGCGGUGACCAUGGCGGUGGAGGAGAAGGAUGAGGUAGCCAACACUGUUUUUUAUAUAUAGUAGCUGUUGACAUUAUAGUUGUGCAGGCACUUUAUUGACUCUAGAGAACAAUGGGCCAAUCACACAUCCCUGUGGCGGUGACUUUGCAUGUGGAUGUCAUCCAUAUCAACAUUCGAUGCCAGUUUUUGCGCCUACCAUGGUGACCACGGGUAAUGGGGAAUCAGGGUUCCAUUCCGUACAGGGACCCUGAGAAACGACUACCACAUGCAAGGAAGGCACCAGGCGUGCAAAUGACCCACUCCUGACGCGGGAAGGUAGUAACGACAAAUAACAAUACAGGACUCAAUAGAGGCCCUGUAAUUGUAAUGAGUCCACUUGAAAUCCUUUAACUCUGAUCAAUUAGAGGGAAGUCUGGUGCAGAGCCACUGACCCAUGCGUGCUGCAGCUGAAA